AAUUCCAUUUAGCUUGGACCUCAAAUUAAACAUCGAUAAAGCAAAACACACUUGAACAUCUUGAUGGGCCUUUUUUGAACACAUGCCCAAUGAACAAACGCCCAGCCCACAAUGAUUUCUUCUUCUCCUUCUUCGAUACACCAAAGACGGUUUGUAAACACAAAACACAUCAAUCAACAGAUUAUACCUUUGAUUAGCAAAUAGAAAAACUCCCAAAGCUUCACUCCCUAAACCCUAAUUUUCCGAUGUCGGUGUUCCUUCCCGAUUCUUCUUCAAUUUCGAAAUUUUGUUUGUUCUGCGCAAUAAUUGAUAGUAUGAUUUGAACGAUGAAUCGAUGGACAUUGUGGUGAUUCAGAUCUUCGAGUACAAUGAAAGUGCCGUCGACGCUAUGGAAGGGAAAAACUGCUUCGCUAUUGCCAGUGAUCAGAGGCAUGGUGUGCAAUUACAAACCAUCGCUACCGAUUAUUUGUGAAUCUAUAAGAUCCACGAUUAACUCUUCAUCGGACAUUCCGGUCUCGCUACUGAUGUCCAAACAUUGUACCAACGACUCGUAUUUCGUCAUAAUUAUAUCAGCUUAGGGAAGAAAGAGACAUAAAGCCAGAAACUUUCGCUAGUCUUGUAUCUGCCAUUCUUUAUGAGAAAAGAUUUGGUCCAUACUUGUGUCAACUUGUGAUUGCUGAAUUGAGAGAUGAUAACAAACCCUUCACUUGCACAAUGGAUUCGAUUGCAGCCAAAUUCUAAGGAUCUGAGAUAGAAUCUCCAAUCAAAUCUUUGUUGAUGUCAUGAAGAACAAUAUGAAUGGAAAAUGAAAAAGAGGAAUAAUAAAGUUAAAAUCGAUUUGAUGCAGAGAGUUUCAAUUAAGGAAGGAUCCGAUUCAAAAAAUUCGGGUCAAAAUCACAAAUAAGGUAGGAUCCGAUUGACAUAUUUCCGGGUCAAAAACAUUAAAUAUCCAAAAAUUAAAAAAAAUUUGACCCGAUUAGGAUCCCUUAAAAGUGUUGCAAAAAUAUAUAGUAGAUUAACGGCAAAAACAGGCCAUUAACGACUGUUUAGUGUUUUAAACGGAGUUAACAUGGACUGUUAAUUAAUCUUAGUUUGAGGACAGAUUUAGGGACUUGAAGAUUUAUAAUGGGAUUUUUCCUUACAAAUAUUCGUAGACCACCUCUCGAAUGUAUCUAGUAAUCUCUACCCACCUAAGAUAGUUUCAGUAAUAGUUGAACUCUCGAAUCUAUUUAUUAUCCUAUGAUCAAGUUCUAGUUAGCUACUCUAUAACUAGCAUUAAGAACAACCUAUGGUGAAGAACUCUAAAGAUUAAUCCUAACAGGUAAUCUAAUUACUACUUCAUCUAAAUCGCUAAUGAGAAUCCCUAAACCUAACAAGAAGAUUACUCAGACAUGAUUAAUGAAACAAAAAAAACAUGUUUGAAUAGAUUGCAAAACAAGAAAUCAAAAGAAGAAUACAGUUUAGAAUAAAUUUUCUCUCUACAAAGAUUUUUUAAUCUCUGAAAGUAGCUCUCUCCAAUUAUAUUCCAAAGGAUUCAAGCUCAGAGAAUUACAAAGCCAAAAGCAAGAUGCAAGAUAAUCAAUAAUAAAAACCCUAAAAAUUAUUUAUAAUGUCUCCAAAAACGUGUAGGGACUAAAGUUGGAAAGAAGGAAGUCUUCUGGGUUAAUUCUUCGGGCUUUAAAACUCUUAAACCAUCGAGACUUUUGCUGGGCUGCGUGUGGUGUCGAUCGACACCAGGGGUGUCGGUCGACACUCAUGCCUUGGUCUGAUUCCGAUUUCGUUCCUUCAUGUGUCGGUCGACACCAGAAUGGUUCCUUAUCUCCAAAAUUGUCCCGAACGUGUAAAAACCUGAAAAGACUUAAAAAGACACUAGAAACAACAAAAAGACUCUAAAACUGACGCAUAUAUCAUGGCUUAAAUCGGUAAAAUCUGUGAUAUGUCAACUCCCUCAGACUUAGCUUUUGCUUGCCCUCAAGCAAAAUACACAAACUGAACCCGUGGAAGAAGUUUGAAAACAUCAAAACUCCCAAUUUCUCCAGCCUAUUACCUUGAUUAUUCAAACCAAAUCCAAAUGCCUAGCAGAUUGCAUCAAAUCCUAAUCACCAUGUAAUUCUUCGCAAGCAUUCUCAAUAUUCCAAAUUCCAAACCAAAUUCCCCAACCAUAUCCUAUAGCCCUCAUUGCAUAAAUCUCAUCAAUAAAAUCAGUACUCAAAAACCUUAUAGACUCAUUUCCGUACUAUACCAUGGUAAAUCAACCAUUUCAACAUAUUGCAGUACUCUAUCUCUCCCCACACUUAUUCUUUUUCGAACUUUUUUUAUUUUAAACUUCAAAGGUGUAGGCAAAUAAUGGUAUCAUCGUAAAUUUUCCUAACCUCGCUUCCAAUCUUCGUGUGAUCAUCCUUCUUGAAGUAAAAUAAUGAGUUUACUAAAAAAAUUCCUAUCUCUUUACUUCAAAAGAAAAUCAUCACAAUCUUUGUUUUUUAUGUAUAAGGUAGAGGAAUACCAUCUUUUUCCACAUAGGUCUCAUUUAUCAGGUAUGAACGAGGAGUCAAGUUCUGAGAAUACUAACCGGAUUGAGGAGGUGAAGAUCAUGAACUUUGCUCAGGCUUUAGCGGAUUGUGUUGGAAAUUAACGUGGAUGUCUUCUGGUCUAUAGAUUAACUCUCUUGAUUUUCCAUUAAUCAUAUUGAAUUGAAUCUGCAGCAUUAAACUAACCAGGCAAUUAUCUAGAGAAAAAUAUCAUAUUUUCUAACAGAUCAUAAUCUCAAUAAAACGACUCAAAAGAUCAUAAUCUCAAUAAAACGACUCAAAAGAAAAAGAAAAAUAAGAAUAAGACUCAAAAAGAAAAAUGAUAUAUCACGGAUUUUACCGAUUUUAACCGUGAUAUAUGUAUUGUUUUUAGAGUCUUUUUGUUGUUUCUAGUAUCUUUUUGAAUCUUUUCAGGUUUUUACACGUUCGGGACAAAAGUGGAGAAAAGGAAUCAUUAUGGAGCUAAACCGAGGAUUUGGAGCUGAGGAGACGAAUCCGGUUCGAACCAAGGCAUGAGUGUCGACCGACACCCUUGGUGUCGCUCGACACCAAACACUGCCCAGCAAGAAGUCUCGACGGUUUAGAGUUUUAAAGCCCGCAGAAUUUACCCAGAAGACUUUCUUAUUUGCAAUUUUAGUCUCUGCACGUUUUUGAGACAUUAUAAAUAGUUUUUAGGGUUUAUUUAUUUCAUUAUCUGGUCUUUGGCUUUUGUAAUUCUCUGAGCUUGAACCCUUUGGAAGAUAAUUGGAGAGAGCUACUUUCAGAGA
Molecule: long non-coding RNA, 3295 nt
Organism: Arabidopsis lyrata subsp. lyrata
Lineage: Eukaryota; Viridiplantae; Streptophyta; Magnoliopsida; Brassicales; Brassicaceae
Exons: 5
Source: RefSeq, a predicted model, not a curated record